CGAAAACUGAAGUUGUCUUACUUUUCCUUAAAAAAGGAAAAAGUUUGCUCUUGAAGUAUUGCCAACAAAUAAUACUUUCAGAACCUCUUGCAUAGUUCGGAUGCCAAAGUCACACUGGAAGUCAGUGAGAUUCAAGAUUUUAACUCGCACUGCAAAUGUGAUUCAAAGGCUUUAAGGGUGAAGCGUCUGUCCCUGCAGAGGAUCUGAGCAAGGCUCCUUUACCCUUCAGGUUCUGGGCUGAUCGGUAGGACCAAGAGGUGGGAGAGAGGUCACAGUGGGCUCCUGCCAUCUACGGAUAUGCUGAUCAUAAGUAAGUUUUGGAGGAGAUGGCUGGAUCCAUUCUUACAGAGAUGGCUUCUCUUGUCAAGAUCUGUCUGAAGAUGCACUGUGCUUGGUGAUUUUCCUUAAUGCCGUGGUUCUGCAGAGAACUGCCUUGGUGAGCUCUUUACCUUCUGUGUGCGUUUCCAGGUUCGCCUGAAUGUGGAAAAGAGUGAAGAUGAACCACAGUGGCUCAGGAAGCACAUAACACAAUGCUUCUCAUUUUAAGAGUCUGAUAAUUAAGCCAUUAAAGAGUGCUGGGACUAGCAAUACCAUGUCUAUGGGGAGCUAAUUACUUGUACCACUGGUAAAAUACCAUGACAACAAUAAAGGACAUUUUAUAGACAAGGAAUGCUGACAAGCUCCUGCCCUGAAGCAUGCAGCUGGAGGGCCCAGCCUGUACCCUUCCAAGUCAGUGGAACAUCUCCAGUGCACAACAGCAACUUGGGACCCGCAUUUCUGCUGUCAAGUUUGCGUGGAAAUAAAUAGGAGGCAUCACUUUUGGACCAGUCUACGUGUUACAGCAGAACAGCCCCCUUGGCCUUCAUUCCAUUCCUCUUCCUGGUGGGACAGAAGCAUCUGAAUGGUAUAUGGGGGUAUGUGUAUCACUGCGUGCCAGGACAGAUAGCGUAGAGCUGCAGCUGUUGGCCUAUCAAAACAGC
This 980-nucleotide long non-coding RNA is filed under the name Gallus gallus (chicken). The record is from RNAcentral. Lineage: Eukaryota; Metazoa; Chordata; Aves; Galliformes; Phasianidae.